GAUGAACGCUGGCGGCGUGCCUAAUACAUGCAAGUCGAGCGAACGGACGAGAAGCUUGCUUUUCUGAUGUUAGCGGCGGACGGGUGAGUAACACGUGGAUAACCUACCUAUAAGACUGGGAUAACUUCGGGAAACCGGAGCUAAUACCGGAUAAUAUUUUGAACCGCAUGGUUCAAAAGUGAAAGACGGUGUUGCUGUCACUUAUAGAUGGAUCCCCGCUGCAUUGGCUAGUUGGUAAGGUAACGGCUUAUCAAGGCAACGAUGCAUAGACGACGGGAGAGGGUGAUCGCCCACACUGGAACUGAGACACGGUCCAGACUCCUACGGGAGGCAGCAGUAGGGAAUCUGCCGCAGUGGGCGAAAGCCUGACGGAGCGAGGCCGCGUGAGUGAUGAAGGUCUUCGGAUCGUAAAACUCUGUUAUUAGGGAAGAACAGAUGUGUAAGUAAAUGUGCACAUCUUGACGGUACCUAAUAAGAAAGCAACGGCUAACUACGUG
Molecule: ribosomal RNA, 497 nt
Filed under: uncultured bacterium
Lineage: Bacteria
Description: partial 16S ribosomal RNA
Rfam family: Bacterial small subunit ribosomal RNA
Source: RNAcentral